AUUGAACGCUGGCGGCAUGCUUUACACAUGCAAGUAGAGCGGUAACAGGCCUUCGGGUGCUGACGAGUGGCGAACGGGAGAGUAAUGCAUCGGAACGUACCCAGCGGUGGGGGAUAACGCAGCGAAAGCUGUGCUAAUACCGCAUGUGAUAUGAGGAUGACAGCGGGGGACCGAGCAGCAAUGUUUGGCCUCGCGCCUUUGGCGCGGCCGAUGUCGGAUUAGCUAGUUGGUGGGGUAAAGGCCCACCAAGGCGGCGAUCCGUAGCUGGUCUGAGAGGGCGAGUGCCCAGACUGGCACUGCGGCACGUCCCAGACUCCUAGGGGGGGCAGCAGGGGGGAAUUUUGCACAAUGCGCGCAAGCCUAAUCCAGCAAUGCCGCUUGCGGUAAGAAGACCUUCGGGUUGUAAACCGCUUUUGGCAGGAACGAAACGGUGUCCGCUAAUACCGGGCGCUAAUGACGGUACCUGCAGAAUAAGCACCGGCUAACUACGUG
RNAcentral lists this ribosomal RNA (492 nucleotides) under uncultured bacterium. Its description in RNAcentral is "partial 16S ribosomal RNA". It matches the Rfam family "Bacterial small subunit ribosomal RNA", at positions 29 to 507 of the family's 1533-position model. The record is from RNAcentral.